This 87-nucleotide transfer RNA is filed under the name Brumimicrobium salinarum. Its description in RNAcentral is "tRNA-Leu". It matches the Rfam family "tRNA". Rfam says of the family: Transfer RNA (tRNA) molecules are approximately 80 nucleotides in length. Their secondary structure includes four short double-helical elements and three loops (D, anti-codon, and T loops). Lineage: Bacteria; Pseudomonadati; Bacteroidota; Flavobacteriia; Flavobacteriales; Crocinitomicaceae. The record is from RNAcentral.
GCUCGGGUGGUGGAAUUGGUAGACACGUUGGACUUAAAAUCCAAUGAACCUUGGUUCGUACGGGUUCAAGUCCCGUCCCGAGUACAA